This 253-nucleotide ribosomal RNA is filed under the name uncultured bacterium. RNAcentral's name for it is "partial 16S ribosomal RNA". It matches the Rfam family "Bacterial small subunit ribosomal RNA", at positions 524 to 776 of the family's 1533-position model. The record is from RNAcentral.
GACGUAGGGCGCGAGCGUUGUCCGGAUUUAUUGGGCGUAAAGAGCUCGUAGGCGGCUUGUCACGUCGGUUGUGAAAGCCCGGGGCUUAACCCCGGGUCUGCAGUCGAUACGGGCAGGCUAGAGUGUGGUAGGGGAGAUCGGAAUUCCUGGUGUAGCGGUGAAAUGCGCAGAUAUCAGGAGGAACACCGGUGGCGAAGGCGGGUCUCUGGGCCGAUACUGACGCUGAGGAGCGAAAGCGUGGGGAGCGAGCAGG